AGUUUUUAUUAGGAAAAACUUCAAAAAAGGUUUCAUAGUUUCUCACUUUGCCCUCAUGUGGUUUAAAAUGUAUCAAAUUGCCCCCCUGUGAUUUCGUUUUUAUCUUUUUGGUAGCUUUUUCGUUAAUAUUUCAUUCAAUUAUAUACAAAAAACUUCAAAUACCAUCUAGAUUUAUCAAAUAUUCACUUUAGUACUCUUUAAUUUUAACUUUAUCACUGAUUUAAGAAAAAAUAAAUAAUAAAAUUGUUAAGAAAAAGAGAAAAAAGAAACCACAGAAGGGGCAAAUUGAUAUAUUUUAAACCACGGGGGGGCAAAGUGAAAAACUACGAAACCACGUGAAGGGCUUUUGAAGUUUUUCCUUUUUAUUAUGCCAAAAAGCACGAGUUA
This 387-nucleotide long non-coding RNA is filed under the name Ananas comosus (pineapple). RNAcentral's name for it is "long non-coding RNA (ACOM_LNC011333)". Lineage: Eukaryota; Viridiplantae; Streptophyta; Magnoliopsida; Poales; Bromeliaceae. The record is from RNAcentral.